Molecule: long non-coding RNA, 2902 nt
Filed under: Capsicum annuum
Lineage: Eukaryota; Viridiplantae; Streptophyta; Magnoliopsida; Solanales; Solanaceae
Description: long non-coding RNA (CANN_LNC018198)
Source: RNAcentral
AAGCCUUAAAAAAUGGGAAAAUGAAAGUGAAAAAAAUUCAAACAUUAAAGUGUCCACAUAUUUAUGUUAUUUAUACUUUGUUUUAUCAUUGUUCCCUUGAGGAAUAUUAUAAAAGUUGAAGCAUAUAAGCUUAUUGAUUAAUAUAAUCACCCAAUAUCAUUAAGAAAUUAAUUCCCUUUUCUCCAAUUUGAUCUUCUUUCCCCUCUCUUUUGAAGCCAUGAAUCACAAAACCCUCUCUUUGUUUUUCUUAAAUAGUUUUGUCAUAAUUCUCUUUCUAUCCUCAAUAGCCUUUGGGAGAUUGCAAGGUGUAUAUUACUAUUUUACUAUAACUUUUUUAUAUUUUCAUAUUUGCUAAAUUUGUAGGAUUACUUUUAUAGUUUCUUGUUCUUCGACUUCUAAUGUUAUCUAGUGUUUUCUAUAGUUUAGUGCAGUGUUAUUAUGUUGUAAUAGUGUUUUGCGACUAUCUGUUGUCUUCGUUUAUUGUCUAUAUUUCUUUUAGUUCUAUUAAGUCUUUUUUUCUGGUCAUUUUUGAUCUUGAGCCGGAUUUCUAUUCGGAAACAUCCCCUUUCUCACUUUGAAGUAAAAGUACGGUUUGCAUACAUUCUACUUUCUUCAGAUCUCAUUAUCUAGGAAUACACUAGAUAUGUUGUCGCUGCUGUCCAUAAUAUGAUUAUAUUAUAUAGUACUAGACAUCAUUCUUUUCUCAUCCUCUAACCGUUGAUAAGGGGUAACCGAUCGAUUCUUGAACACAUUUCUUGAUAUGUAUAUGAAUAGAUAGAUAACAAGUGUGUGUUUAUAAAUUAAAUCCUUUUUGAACUAGGUCAUCGAGGUGAUGACUAUAACAUUGGAGAAGGAUUUCAUGUGAUGAGUAAAGGAACUUAUCCUUCCCGUAUUUACGCACCCCCUUCAAUAUCACCACCCGGUAAGUUUUUGUAUAAAAUAUGUUAUUUCAUCGAUCUCAAUUUACUCUAUUUGAGAUACACAAUCCAUUAAAUUUUGAUCGGAUUGAAAGGAUUACACAUUUUAAAUUGCAAAGAACACAAAUACACAAUAUGAUAAGAUGGUAAUCUUUGUCCGAUUUGAGACACACAACUAACCUUUUUGGUCAAACUUUUAGAGUUUAGCUUAUUUUGAAAAAAAAAAAAAAUCUCACAAAAGAAAUUUUGAGAAAAAAAAAAUAUUUUUGGUGAGGAACAGUUUGAUUUAGCUAUAGGGGCGGCUCAACAAAUAUCGGAAUCUAAAGCAAAGCUUCAACGAAAGGUCUCAAAAUUUUAUUAAUAAAAUAAAAUUAUAUAUUGUAUAGAAUAUCAUUUGAAGUCUAUUUUUUUAGUUUUUCAUAUACAAAAUUUUAAAUACUUUCUCUAUCCCAUAAUAAUUACAAUUUAAAAUACUUCUAGAAAAAAAAAAUGAAAAAUUCAUAUAAAAAUUAACUCAUUUAAUCCUUAAGAUCUAAAUGUCACACAUAAUUAAGACAUAUUGAGUACUUUCUCCGUUCUUAGAUAAGUAGUUGUUGUAGCUGUUUCAUUUUAUUUCAUAAGUGAUAUUUUGAAAUUUCAAAAAGGAAUUAUCUUAUGUUUCCUGAAUUAUUCUUAUUUUUAUACAUGAUACAUCAUUAAAGAAUUAUUUUUUUUAUUUAAGACAUUUAAUUAGGAUUAACUUAGUUAAAACACUUUUUUUUUUAAAAAAUAAAUAAUUUUGAAAAGUAAACUUAAACUAAAAACACCACUUAUAUAAACAAUAAAAAAAAAAAAUAAUAUAUAUACAUGUUAAGAAAUUGAGGCCCUCAAAUUUUUAGCGCCUACAGCCUUAGAAGCUUUAUGCUUCAGCCGGCUUUGUUUGGAUAGUCAGUUUGAAAAAUAUCUUUUUAAUAGCAAUUAAUAUUUGAUCAAAUUUUCACAAAAUAUUUCUAAGUAUAUUUUCUCAAAAAUAUUAUUCAAAGAAAUACAUUAAAGAGAAUCUACUUUUUUGAGCUUCUCGAAAUUUCUUCACCUUCUACUAAAAACACACCUUUGUUGUUGUAAGUAAAUUAUUUUAUUUAUCAGAGUGAAUAUAUACCCCACAAAAAAAAAAACAUAAAACCGAAGUAUUGAUUUGCUAGCUGAAAUCAAGUUCAUAUAUCUGGAUGUAUUACUCCCUCCAUUUAAAAAAGAAUGAUGUACUUUUUUUUUUUAGUCUAUUUAAAAAAGAAUGACACAUUUUUUUUUUUGACAAUUCUUUAAUUUUAACUUUCAACAUGACAUGUUUUGGACCACAAGAUUAAAGGACAUUUUGGUACAUUUGACAUAACUUUAAUUUAAGACCAUAAGAUUCAAAAGUUUUCUUUAUUUUCUUAAACUUGUGUCAAAUCAAAAUAGGUCAUUCUUUUUGAAAUGGAGGGAGUAUAUAUACUUAAAACAUAUUUACACUAACAAUUUGUAUAACUUAUAUUUUUUCCAAGAUUAUAUUAAAGAUCCAUUAUUUACACCCUUUCUUAUUUACAUGUUUGCAGCUGAUGGAUCUUGAGUGAGUAGCAAAAUAUCUAUUGAGCAAGAAAGUUGUUGAACCUUCACAUCUUAAGAAUUUUAUAUAAUAUUUGUACUUAUUUACAAAUGUUGUUUGAACUAUUGUAUUUUAAUUUGAACGGAAUUAUCUGAUAUUUAUUGCUGGUGAGCGGUAAUCGAUAUCCCGUGAAUUUAAUCGAGAUGCGCACAAAACUAGCCCUGACCUAUUAAAAAGACAAUUGUAUUUAGCACUUUUAGUCCUUCAAUAAUUAAGCUAGUAAUAAGGAAUACUUAUGUUAAUUAAAGGAAAUUAGCACUUUUAGUCCUUCAAUAAUUAGUAAAUUUUGAUUUAGUACCUUGUGAUUUCUGGUAUAAGCAUGUUUAACCUUCAAUUCAAUGGUAUUGCACACUUUUGAUCCCUC